UACGAAGGGAGCUAGCGUUGUUCGGAAUCACUGGGCGUAAAGCGCACGUAGGCGGAUUUGUCAGUCAGGGGUGAAAUCCCGGGGCUCAACCUCGGAACUGCCUUUGAUACAGCAAGUCUUGAGUUCGAGAGAGGUGGGUGGAAUUCCUAGUGUAGAGGUGAAAUUCGUAGAUAUUAGGAAGAACACCGGUGGCGAAGGCGGCCCACUGGCUCGAUACUGACGCUGAGGUGCGAAAGCGUGGGGAGCAAACAGGG
RNAcentral lists this ribosomal RNA (254 nucleotides) under uncultured bacterium. Its description in RNAcentral is "partial 16S ribosomal RNA". It matches the Rfam family "Bacterial small subunit ribosomal RNA", at positions 524 to 777 of the family's 1533-position model. The record is from RNAcentral.